Molecule: ribosomal RNA, 1491 nt
Filed under: metagenome
Description: bacterial SSU rRNA
Rfam family: Bacterial small subunit ribosomal RNA
Source: RNAcentral
AGAGUUUGAUCCUGGCUCAGAUUGAACGCUGGCGGCAUGCCUUACACAUGCAAGUCGAACGGCAGCACGAGAGCUUGCUCUUGGUGGCGAGUGGCGAACGGGUGAGUAAUAUAUCGGAACGUACCCUAGAGUGGGGGAUAACGUAGCGAAAGUUACGCUAAUACCGCAUACGAUCUACGGAUGAAAGUGGGGGAUCGCAAGACCUCAUGCUCAUGGAGCGGCCGAUAUCUGAUUAGCUAGUUGGUGGGGUAAAAGCUCACCAAGGCGACGAUCAGUAGCUGGUCUGAGAGGACGACCAGCCACACUGGAACUGAGACACGGUCCAGACUCCUACGGGAGGCAGCAGUGGGGAAUUUUGGACAAUGGGCGCAAGCCUGAUCCAGCAAUGCCGCGUGAGUGAAGAAGGCCUUCGGGUUGUAAAGCUCUUUUGUCAGGGAAGAAACGGUGGACUCUAAUACAGAUCACUAGUGACGGUACCUGAAGAAUAAGCACCGGCUAACUACGUGCCAGCAGCCGCGGUAAUACGUAGGGUGCAAGCGUUAAUCGGAAUUACUGGGCGUAAAGCGUGCGCAGGCGGUUGUGCAAGACAGAUGUGAAAUCCCCGGGCUCAACCUGGGAAUUGCAUUUGUGACUGCACGGCUAGAGUGUGUCAGAGGGGGGUAGAAUUCCACGUGUAGCAGUGAAAUGCGUAGAGAUGUGGAGGAAUACCGAUGGCGAAGGCAGCCCCCUGGGAUAACACUGACGCUCAUGCACGAAAGCGUGGGGAGCAAACAGGAUUAGAUACCCUGGUAGUCCACGCCCUAAACGAUGUCUACUAGUUGUCGGGUCUUAAUUGACUUGGUAACGCAGCUAACGCGUGAAGUAGACCGCCUGGGGAGUACGGUCGCAAGAUUAAAACUCAAAGGAAUUGACGGGGACCCGCGCAAGCGGUGGAUGAUGUGGAUUAAUUCGAUGCAACGCGAAAAACCUUACCUACCCUUGACAUGUCUGGAAUCCUUGAGAGAUCAGGGAGUGCUCGAAAGAGAAUCAGAACACAGGUGCUGCAUGGCUGUCGUCAGCUCGUGUCGUGAGAUGUUGGGUUAAGUCCCGCAACGAGCGCAACCCUUGUCAUUAGUUGCUACGAAAGGGCACUCUAAUGAGACUGCCGGUGACAAACCGGAGGAAGGUGGGGAUGACGUCAAGUCCUCAUGGCCCUUAUGGGUAGGGCUUCACACGUCAUACAAUGGUACAUACAGAGGGCCGCCAACCCGCGAGGGGGAGCUAAUCCCAGAAAGUGUAUCGUAGUCCGGAUUGUAGUCUGCAACUCGACUACAUGAAGUUGGAAUCGCUAGUAAUCGCGGAUCAGCAUGUCGCGGUGAAUACGUUCCCGGGUCUUGUACACACCGCCCGUCACACCAUGGGAGCGGGUUUCACCAGAAGUGGGUAGCCUAACCGCAAGGAGGGCGCUCACCACGGUGGGAUUCGUGACUGGGGUGAAGUCGUAACAAGGUA